GGAGAUUUAGCUCAGUGGUAGAGUGCUUGCCUAGCAAGCACAAGGCCCUGGGUUCGAUCCCCAGCUCCG
Molecule: transfer RNA, 69 nt
Filed under: Rattus norvegicus (Norway rat)
Lineage: Eukaryota; Metazoa; Chordata; Mammalia; Rodentia; Muridae
Rfam family: tRNA
About the family: Transfer RNA (tRNA) molecules are approximately 80 nucleotides in length. Their secondary structure includes four short double-helical elements and three loops (D, anti-codon, and T loops).
Source: Rfam by way of RNAcentral